AAGUCUAACACAAAUCAUAAUCGUAACUGCUUACGUGGCAUGUUAUACAUGAAUCACGAGACUGGUAGUUGAAUAAAGGCGCGCACAAAACAUGCGCUUCAAUAAAAAAAAAAAAAAAAGAAGCUGACGUGGUCAAUGGACAAUCUGACACAUUCUCUCCACCCCUUCACUCCCUAACUUUUCCUCAUAUUCACGAUAUUGCCACUCUUCUCCCAAACCGUAUGGUCGUGAGGUGGACAAGACUUGUUCUCACCGUACUCCGUGUCUCAUCUGAUUAUUGUCUCAAUAAAAUUGCAACUUUCUCCAGAAAAUUUCACACACUUUCUCGAGAAAUUAAACUAUUCAGGUUCUUCUUUCUAGCCCCCUUGAUCUUUCCACAGAUGCCCAAGCAAAAAGCUCAAAAGAAGCAACUCAAAUCCUACAAACUCAAACACAUCAACAGAACCAUUCAAGAGGGAGAUGCGGUGUUGAUGCGGUCAUCGGAGCCUGGGAAACCGUCGUACGUGGCGAGGGUGGAGGCGAUCGAGGCGACGGACGCGCGUGGAUCGAACGCGAGGGUUCGCGUGAGGUGGUACUACCGCCCCGAGGAGUCCAUGGGAGGGAGGAGGCAGUUCCACGGAGCUAAGGAGGUGUUUCUUUCGGAUCACUUUGACUUGCAGAGCGCUGAUACGAUCGAAGGCAAGUGUAAGGUUCACAGUUUCAGUAGCUACACGAAACUCAGCUCCGUGGGAAACGACGACUUCUUCUGUCGUUUUGAGUAUAAUUCUGCAACUGGGGCUUUUAUUCCCGACAGAGUCGCCGUAUUCUGCAAGUGUGAGAUGCCGUACAACCCUGAUGACUUGAUGGUUCAGUGCGAGGAGUGUUCUGAGUGGAACAACAAUAGAGGCAGCUAAAAAGCUCGAUCACUUCUACUGUGAAGAGUGUUCCCCGGAACAGCAGGAUUUGGAUAACUCUAAUUCGACUUCCAAAACCACAGAUGCUAAGGUGAAUACAAAGCGCAGCCUGGAGGUAAGCAAGACGAGGAACAAACACGCCAAGCGAUCAGGUUAACAUAAAAACCUCUGAGAGCUAUAUCAGUCCAUCGGACUGAGUUCAGUAUCAUCAUGAUGUAAUCUGUGAAAGAGUUUGUUUUCUUUACUCUACUUUUUUUCUUUCUUUCUUAAGGAUGUGAGGUUUAGGUUGGUUGGCUUGAUUAGUGACUUGUGUUGUGGCACAAUCUUAUGUAUAGUAUACUAUAUGUUUUCAUUUCAUCUGCUUUAAGCUGUGACAUAAUGAAAGCUGAGUGAAAGGUAUGUCUAUAAAAAGAAACAGAGAGAGGGGUCACUUGUUUGUGCUCGAUUGU
This is an RNA transcript of Brassica rapa (field mustard), 1342 nucleotides long. It is a transcript of the gene named chromatin remodeling protein SHL, with no coding region annotated. NCBI's taxonomy places the organism in Eukaryota, Viridiplantae, Streptophyta, Magnoliopsida, Brassicales, Brassicaceae. The record is from RefSeq and is a predicted model, not a curated record.